UACGAAGGGUGCAAGCGUUAAUCGGAAUUACUGGGCGUAAAGCGCGCGUAGGUGGUUUCUUAAGUCAGAGGUGAAAGGCUACGGCUCAACCGUAGUAAGCUUUUGGAACUGUAAGACUUGAGUGCAGGAGAGGAGAGUGGAAUUCCUAGUGUAGCGGUGAAAUGCGUAGAUAUUAGGAGGAACACCAGUAGCGAAGGCGGCUCUCUGGACUGUAACUGACGCUGAGGCACGAAAGCGUGGGGAGCAAACAGGAUUAGAUACCCCCCGUAGUCCCUGA
Molecule: ribosomal RNA, 277 nt
Filed under: uncultured prokaryote
Description: partial 16S ribosomal RNA
Rfam family: Bacterial small subunit ribosomal RNA
Source: RNAcentral